AUACGGAGGGUGCAAGCGUUAUCCGGAAUCAUAGGGUUUAAAGGGUCCGCAGGCGGAUUAAUAAGUCAGUGGUGAAAUCCUCUCGCUCAACGAGAGAACUGCCAUUGAAACUGUUAGUCUUGAAUUCGGUCGAAGUAGGCGGAAUGUGUCAUGUAGCGGUGAAAUGCAUAGAUAUGACACAGAACACCGAUAGCGAAGGCAGCUUACUAGACCUGGAUUGACGCUCAUGGACGAAAGCGUGGGGAGCGAACAGGAUUAGAUACCCUAGUAGUCC
RNAcentral lists this ribosomal RNA (274 nucleotides) under uncultured bacterium. RNAcentral describes it as "partial 16S ribosomal RNA". It matches the Rfam family "Bacterial small subunit ribosomal RNA", at positions 523 to 796 of the family's 1533-position model. The record is from RNAcentral.